Long non-coding RNA from Heterocephalus glaber (naked mole-rat), 4022 nucleotides. Lineage: Eukaryota; Metazoa; Chordata; Mammalia; Rodentia; Bathyergidae. The record is from Ensembl.
CCAGAAGCUAGGACACUACCAGGAAGAUCCUUUUGAGAGAUGUAUCAAGGGUCAUCUUCCAGAGGUGGAGUCCUAGCCCUGUGUGAGCUUAUUCACUCGCUGAUGUGGUAAAUAGUGACUGAGGGUUUGGUGCACACCAAGUAGAAUGCAAGGGCUGGAAAAUUAGCAGUGAGCAAUCAGAGGGCGCCGUUGCUCACAGGAACUUCUAAUCUAGUUCAAAGAGAGAAAAUAAGAACAUGAUAGGGUAUGGGAGGGCUUUAUUAAGCCAGUGUCCACAGGAUGAGAGAGGCAGUUCUGGCCAGUCUGAACCCCUUCCCUGUGAGGGAGUGGUCCUCCAGCAAAGAAAGCAGUGGCCAGCACUCUGAGGCAAGCAUAAACUUGGCAUUUGGGGGAACAGAAAGACCUUGUCAUCUGCAGCCCUCUGAGCUGGAAGCAGGUGGGAGGGGAGGCCCUUCAGGAAUCAGAAAUCCAUGCUAAGUGGGAAGUAGUGAAGCCCAGAGAGAAAGCUGAGAUGUGCACUGGUGGCAUGUUAAGAAAGCCCACCUAGACUGGCACUCUUCCAUGGAGUCCAGGCCCAGGGGUUGCAACAUGACCAGUGGGAUAAGAUGUGUACAGUGGCCUCGGGUUUCCAGGAAUUAGACACAGCUUGGAGUUCUAUGAAAAAUUCUGUAAACAGUUUGAAGUAACGAUCGAGUCACAGGACGUUGCAAGGAUGUGUGAAGGGAAACCUCCCGCACCUUCUCCUGGCUCCCCCUCCUCCCUGGGACUGGGUGACACCAGGCAGUGUCCAAACCACUGCUCAAGCACAAAGCGAUAGGCAACACGAUGCCAUUAAAGCUAAGAGUGACAACAACGAAGACGCCUCAGCUAAUGGAAGGAAGGAAAGGAGUACAAAUUACUUAGCAGAUCCUGGGAGUUUUCUGAGUCCAGCAUGGCCCAGCUGUCCUGGGAAGACUAUUUCCCUGUGCACCCGUAGGCACUCCAAGUCCUGUCUUUCCUGUCCUCCUCCCUCAUCUGUCUCUCCUGCACCCCACCAUCUUGACACUUUUAGAAAUGCACGGAAUGCCAAGCCAUCAGAGAUGACAGUGUGCUGAUAAGGUCCAGAAAGCUCUGCUCCUCCAAAGCAGGCGGUUAAAGACAAAGGUGACAUUUGGUUUAUCCAAAUAAUCCAGUUGUCUGACAGCUGUCUGCACUUCUGCUGAAGCAGGAGAGUCCCUUUCUGAGAGCCUCCAUAGGUGCCCACCUCGGUGUCAACCAUGUGGCAUGGGAUGAAGUGCUUGGACCUCGACAAUGAAGAAGAAAAGAUGGCAGAGUUUCAGACAAGCUGCCUCUGUCUGAGCCAUCUGGAAUUAGAACUCCCUUCCCAGUUGCCAGAGUUGCCAAGUGCGUGGGUCUGGGCUGCAUUAACAUCUGUGCUGAGUGAGUCUGGGCUGUGGGCAGAGGUUGCAGGUGUUCAGGAAAUGUGUCGCACAGUUGGUAAGGAAUGGUCAUCGUCGCUUUGGUUUUGUAACAAAGGCUAAGAACUGGAAUUCUAAAGCAGCCUGGGCCACAGAGAAGGCUAACCUGAGUGGGGCCAGGAAAGACCAACAUCUCAUCUGGGAGCAGCAAGGUGGCUGGCCUGAGGUGCCUGCUCCCAUUCCGGUCCUGGGGAACCCAGCACGGCUGAUCCUGCAGAACCAGGACCCUGACAGGUGACCCAGCGGCACAGGAGCCUGGCCGUGUGACUCCUGCAGGGUGAGGUGAGAUGCCCGCGUCUAAGAGCCACACAGGUGCCAGGGGAGGAAGGCAGUAAAGGACCCGGGUGUCAGGAAAGGAAGGCAGGAUCUGGUGGCAGCGCCCAGCCCAGGGAAGAACAGGCACCCGUUCUUCCUGACAUAGUCGGAGUCCCCAGAGCAGAUGGACGCAAUCUUGAGUGAGGAGCAGUUUUUUCCGGGUGGGUGGGGACAUUAGGGAACAGGGCGCAGAGCCGAAACCCCAUCUCAGAGGCAGUGUUGCUGCCUCUAGGCUCAAGGGACUGGGAGAAGGGAGUAGUUCUUAAAACCAGCAGAUAGAAGCUCACAGAGACAGGAACAGUGACAUUGGCUCAGGGAGCUGCGUCUGCUCCACACACGUAUGCAGCAGAGAGCCAGGAAGGUGGGGCGCUGACUUUGGCCCUCCUCCAGGCUCCAGCCAGGGCGCCCACUAGUGGGCACAAUGAGAACCUGCAGGGCCCGGAAAGCCCCUGAGAGACAGUCAGGGUGGCAGGCGAAUGAGCCAGCGGACAGCACGAUGUGCACCAGGCCCUGUGCUGAGCACUGGACACCCCAGACACAGAGCAGGCGUGACCUUGCCCUUACAAAGCUUGUGGGCAAGAGAGGAGGGCAGACGGCAAUCAAGUGAUUGUGGCUAAACAAAGUGCCAUGAAGCAGUUCUGGACCUGGAGUUAUUUCAGGAGCAGAGCCCCUAGGCUGGUCCUGGGAUCCAGAAAGGCACUUUUAAGGUCCAGGCCUUCAGGGGAGAAGAGAAUGCAGUCACUACAGGAAAAACAAGGAGAAGUAUCAAAGGCAAAUGGAGCAGCACAUUCCAAAGUGCUGGGGGCGCAACGGAGCAUGUUUCAAGUCAGAAAAGAGAAGGCGACUGAGAAACACGAUACAGAGCACAGGGACUGGGUCGCAAAAGAGACCUUUACCUGUGAGAUGAGACGCUCCGGAGAUCUGACGGCCGCUUAAGAGCCCUCACAGCUGCAUCAUGUGAAAGGGGAAACAGUUUGUUUCCGGUGCCUCACAGAAACAAAAUCUGCUUCAGGAUCAUCGGCCUACAAAACCGCUGUGUCUGACAUCUGCCUGGCCAUUCUUGCAUCAACUGCACAUGUGUGGGAGACUCCGUCCCCGGAUUCCUCAGGACAAAUGCUGUCUUCCCCUUCUACACUAUAAGCUUCACAAGGGCACACGUGCCUUGUGUCUGCCCACUGGUGUAAUCCCAACUUCUAGAACAAGGCCUCCUGUGUUGUAGACCUCACGGUUUUGUUGACUGAACAAAUAGUCAGAGUUUUGCAAAUUGUGAUUAUAAAACGCUUUAAUCAGAUCAGAAUGUGCUGAGUUUCCUAAUCUUGGGAGCAAAUAAGCAGACCAGCUGAUAGAGUUGAAUAUUAUGUAAAGAAAAAAGCUAGAUUAUUGAUUAAAAGACUCUUUGCAGUCCUUGAAGACCAAUGACAAAGAGCAGUUUUUGAAAAGCGGAGGAGGAGAUUGGCUGUCUAUACAGUCAUAUCUCCUUCCUCCCAAGAGGUAGCAACUCCACCUCCAGCAGGGUUAGGAAAACUGUCCUGUCUUCACUUGGUAACUGGAUAAAAGCCCCUGCCCAAGGCCCACAUCACUGGAAAACCAAUCUCUAGUCUGGCCCAUGUAGCACCGCCCAUGUUCUUGACUGAACGGCCAGUGGACAGAAGUCUGAAGGCUGAGCAUCCAGGUGCUCUGCGGGUCAGAACUGCUCUGCUCGGGGCCCCUGCUUGCUCACUCAUUCAUGCAUCCACUCUUUCAGCUCCACACUGGCUGAUACAGAGGUGAACAAAGUAGACACAGCUGUUGCCCUAAGGAAUGUUGCCUUCCAAGGGUGUGACAUGGAUGACAAACCAACAGUGUAUGACACAGGAAGGCUGGGAAAGUAAAGUGGGAGUAAAGUAACAGUGGGAGGGGAUUAGGUGGUGCUGAGGGGUCUGGUAUUCACCAGUGUGGCUGGAGAAGGCCUCCCUGGGAAAGGGGUCAUUUGAGCUAAGACCUGGGCAGGUACGUGGAAGCCAUGCAGACACGGGGAAAGGGCAUCCCAAGUAGAGGAGCAGCAAGUGCAAAGGCCCAGAGGUGACCAUAUGCCUGGCUUGUUCUAGGGAGAGCAAGGAGACCAGUAUGGCUGAAGCAGAGGACUGGGAGGACAUGAAGUUAGAGCAAAAGGAGGAAGAGAGAAUGUGACAGGCAAAUCUAACACCUGUGUGCAGCCCCAGUGCAACUCGCUUACUUGGGCCCUUGUAGAGAUACUGGGAAGAGUCUGAC